This 91-nucleotide ribosomal RNA is filed under the name Providencia rettgeri. RNAcentral's name for it is "partial 16S ribosomal RNA". It matches the Rfam family "Bacterial small subunit ribosomal RNA", at positions 1 to 86 of the family's 1533-position model. RNAcentral also lists the same sequence under 1 other name. The record is from RNAcentral. Lineage: Bacteria; Pseudomonadati; Pseudomonadota; Gammaproteobacteria; Enterobacterales; Morganellaceae.
UUUAAUUGAAGAGUUUGAUCAUGGCUCAGAUUGAACGCUGGCGGCAGGCCUAACACAUGCAAGUCGAGCGGUAACAGGGGAAGCUUGCUUC